GACGAACGCUGGCGGCGCGCUUAACACAUGCAAGUCGAACGGAAAGGCCUGCUUUCCCUUGUGGAUUGCGGGUACUCGAGUGGCGAACGGGUGAGUAACACGUGAGUGAUCUGCCCCCAACUUGGGUAUAAGCCUGGGAAACUGGGUCUAAUUCCCGAUAGGACUGCAGGGUGGUGCCUGUGGUGGAAAACGAUUUUCUAGUGGUUGGGGAUGAGCUCGCGGCCUAUCAGCUUGUUGGUGGGGUAAUGGCCUACCAAGGCGGCGACGGGUAGCCGGCCUGGGAGGGUGGACGGCCACAUUGGGACUGGGAUACGGCCCAGACUCCUACGGGAGGCAGCAGUGGGGAAUAUUGGACAAUGGGCGGAAGCCUGAUGCAGCGACGCCGCGUGGGGGAUGACGGCCUUCGGGUUGUAAACUCCUUUCGACCGCGAGGAAGCCACCUGGUUGGAAGGGUGGUGACGGUAGUGGUAGAAGAAGCACCGGCUAACUACGUG
Molecule: ribosomal RNA, 494 nt
Filed under: uncultured bacterium
Lineage: Bacteria
Description: partial 16S ribosomal RNA
Rfam family: Bacterial small subunit ribosomal RNA
Source: RNAcentral